CAACUUUAAGAUUGCUUUGUUUACAAACGUAAAAUCACCAUAUCACUCUGUUGAAUUUUUUGUUCAACCAAUUUUUUGGGGUCAAAAUAGAGCCUUUUAAGUGAAAGCUUAAGCUUACCUCAAACCUAUCAAAGCCAUUCAUUAGUAGUGGUGGGGAGGAGGAGGUGAAGUGUAUAAGUAAUGAUGAGGUGGCGGUGGUGGCGGUGGGGAUUUGUAUUUGUAAGGGUGAUGUGGUGGUGGGUAGUGCGGUGGUGGUGGUGGUGGUGGGGAUUUGUAUUUGUAAGGGUGAUGCGGCGGUGGGUAGUGCACUGGUGGUGGUGGUGGUGGUGGUGAUGGUGGUGGUGGCGGUGGCGGUGGGGAUUUGUAUUUGUAAGGGUGAUGUGGUGGUGGGUAGUGCGGUGGUGGGUAGUGCACUGGUGGUGGUGGUGGUGGCGGUGGGGAUUUGUAUUUGUAAGGGUGAUGUGGUGGUGGGUAGUGCACUGGUGGUGGUGGUGUUUGUGGUGGUUGCUGUGGUUUUUUGUAUUUGUAAUUUAUUCGUGGUGGGUUGGUGAUUUGCGGUGGUGUGGUAGUUCACUUGUGGUGGUGCGGCGGCGGCGGGGACUUGUAUUUGUAAGGGUGAUGUGGUGGUGAGUAGUGCACGGGAGGCGGUGGUGGCGGGGGCGUGGACUUGUACUUGUAAGGUGUGCGUGGUGAGUAGUGCAUGGGUUGGCGGCGGCGGGGACCUUGUAUUUGUAAGGGUGAUGUGGUGUUAGUAGUGCACGGGUGGUGGCGGCGGCGCCGGCGGGGACUUGUAUUUGUAAGGGUGAUG
This 808-nucleotide long non-coding RNA is filed under the name Actinidia chinensis (golden kiwifruit). RNAcentral describes it as "long non-coding RNA (ACHI_LNC006972)". The record is from RNAcentral. Lineage: Eukaryota; Viridiplantae; Streptophyta; Magnoliopsida; Ericales; Actinidiaceae.